AUUGCAGCGAAUAUAACUGUGUCAAGUGUACAACAAGCCUUUCUACAGAACUCAAUGCUGCAAGAUCAAACUUGAGUGCAGGACAGCAGUCCCUAUCCCGGCUAUUAUUAUAGUCACGUGGCAAAGGAUCCGUUUC
This 136-nucleotide small nucleolar RNA is filed under the name Drosophila grimshawi. RNAcentral describes it as "snoRNA:GH25791". The record is from RNAcentral. Lineage: Eukaryota; Metazoa; Arthropoda; Insecta; Diptera; Drosophilidae.